GGUUUGCCUCUUUAUCUAGAUCUAUACCCGAACUCUUACCGAACUCGAGCGUUCUUAUUUAGAUAGCCACAGAUACUACUUUUGUGGGAAACAUGGCUUUAUAAUAAUAU
This 110-nucleotide ribosomal RNA is filed under the name Macrocystis pyrifera (giant kelp). The record is from RNAcentral. Lineage: Eukaryota; Phaeophyceae; Laminariales; Laminariaceae.